GAUGAACGCUGGCGGCGUGCCUAAUACAUGCAAGUCGAGCGAACGGACGAGAAGCUUGCUUCUCUGAUGUUAGCGGCGGACGGGUGAGUAACACGUGGAUAACCUACCUAUAAGACUGGGAUAACUUCGGGAAACCGUAGCUAAUACCGGAUAAUAUUCUGAACCGCAUGGUUCAAAAGUGAAAGACGGUCUUGCUGUCACUUAUAGAUGGAUCCGCGCUGCAUUAGCUAGUUGGUAAGGUAACGGCUUACCAAGGCAACGAUGCAUAGCCGACCUGAGAGGGUGAUCGGCCACACUGGAACUGAGACACGGUCCAGACUCCUACGGGAGGCAGCAGUAGGGAAUCUUCCGCAAUGGGCGAAAGCCUGACGGAGCAACGCCGCGUGAGUGAUGAAGGUCUUCGGAUCGUAAAACUCUGUUAUUAGGGAAGAACAUAUGUGUAAGUAACUGUGCACAUCUUGACGGUACCUAAUCAGAAAGCCACGGCUAACUACGU
Molecule: ribosomal RNA, 496 nt
Filed under: uncultured bacterium
Lineage: Bacteria
Description: partial 16S ribosomal RNA
Rfam family: Bacterial small subunit ribosomal RNA
Source: RNAcentral